GAUGAACGCUGGCGGCGUGCCUAAUACAUGCAAGUCGAGCGGACGGACGAGAAGCUUGCGUCUCUGAUGUUGGCGGAGGACGGGAGAGUAACACGUGGAUAACCUACCUAUAAGACUGGGAAAACUUCGGGAAACCGGAGCUAAUACCGGAUGAUAUUUUGAACCGCAUGGUUCAAAAGUGAAAGACGGUCUUGCUGUCACGUAUAGAUGGAUCCGCGCUGCAUUAGCUAGUUGGUAAGGUAACGGCUUACCAAGGCAACGAUGCAUAGCCGACCUGAUAGGGUGAUCGCCCACACUGGAGCGUAGCCACCGUCCAUACUCCUACGGUACGCAGCAGUAUGCAACCGUCCGCAGAGGUCGAAAGCCUUACAGAGCAGCGCCGCGUGAGUUGUGAAGGUCCUCCGAUCGUGAUGCUCUGUUUCUAGUUGUGAACAUAUGUCUACGUAACUGUGCACAUCUUGACGGUACCUAAUCAGAAAGCCCCGGCUAACUACGUG
This 497-nucleotide ribosomal RNA is filed under the name uncultured bacterium. RNAcentral describes it as "partial 16S ribosomal RNA". It matches the Rfam family "Bacterial small subunit ribosomal RNA", at positions 28 to 507 of the family's 1533-position model. The record is from RNAcentral.